CUAUAGUUUUAUAAGCCCUGAAGCUAUAGAUGUCUAUCUGGCUAUAUGCUGGGAAACCCACUAACUUUCUAUUUAAGUUAAGAAUAUGGUGAAGUGGACAAUCAGCAGGUAACCCUCCUUAGCAAAGUAGGGAGGCUACCUCAGAGACUAAACGCCAGAGCCUGCAGUAUGAAUUGCAUUCCCUCUGGGCUAAAUUGGAAGGGAGUCUGGGACACUAUCUUGCCGGGUUAAUAGAAGGAGACGGAGCUAUUAUUGUUUCUUCUAAAAUAACCUUGUUCUUUUUGAUAAAAUCCCGGUAAGGUGAGUCAAAGCAUGCUGUUCAAUCUGCAGGUAAGAUAUAGUCCGAUCCAAAUAGUGAUGUUUGG
Rhizophagus irregularis is the source of this 365-nucleotide non-coding RNA. NCBI's taxonomy places the organism in Eukaryota, Fungi, Glomeromycota, Glomeromycetes, Glomerales, Glomeraceae. The record is from Rfam.